Molecule: ribosomal RNA, 1431 nt
Filed under: Boana calcarata
Lineage: Eukaryota; Metazoa; Chordata; Amphibia; Anura; Hylidae
Description: partial 16S ribosomal RNA
Rfam family: Bacterial large subunit ribosomal RNA
Source: RNAcentral
GCCAAAAAUCUAGCCACACACCCACGCAUCCAAACACAUUACCUUUCCUCAUUUAACAAAAUAAAACAUUCAACAAAUCUAGUAAAGGCGAUAAAAAAAUUGAUAUGAGCUAUAUUAAUAGUACCGCAAGGGAAAGCUGAAAUAGAAAUGAAACAAGUCCUUAAAGCAUAAAAAAGUAAAGGCCAGCCCUUGUACCUUUUGCAUCAUGGUUUAACUAGUCUUACUCAAGCAAAAUGAAUUACAGUUUGACCCCCCGAAACUAAGUGAGCUACUCCAAGGCAGCUUUAUGAGCCAACCCGUCUCUGUUGCAAAAGAGUGGGAAGACCUUUGAGUAGGGAUGACAGAUCUAACGAACUUAGUGAUAGCUGGUUACUCGAUAAAAGAAUUUAAGUUCCCCCUAAAGCUUGUUUAAGAAUCCAAACUACCUUUUCUGCUUUAGAGCUAUUCAGACAAGGUACAGCCUGUCUGAACCAGGAUACAACCUAGACUAAUGGGUUAAAAAUUAAAAAUUUUUUUUCAAGUGGGCCUAAAAGCAGCCAUCUUUCAAAAAGCGUCAAAGCUUCUCUUUAUGUUUUAAUUAAUUUCAAUAAUAGCCUUGACCCCUUUAUUAAAAUCGAGUAAUUCUAUAUAACUAUAGAACAUAUUAUGUUAAAACUAGUAACAAGAAGAUAGCCCUUCUCUACAAUGCAAGUGUAAGACAGAAGGAUAAACCGCUGUCAAUUAACACAAAUGAUACUCAAUUAGCAACACCACAAGAAAACCCUAAUUUAAAUAUUGUUAAACUAACACAAGAGCAUUUCAAGAAAGAUUAAAAGAAAGAGAAGGAACUCGGCAAACAAUAGCCCCGCCUGUUUACCAAAAACAUCGCCUCUUGAUUAAAUAUAAGAGGUCCAGCCUGCCCAGUGACCUAGUUCAACGGCCGCGGUAUCCUAACCGUGCGAAGGUAGCGUAAUCACUUGUUCUUUAAAUGGGGACUAGUAUGAAUGGCAUCACGAGGGUUAAACUGUCUCCUCUCUCUAAUCAGUGAAACUAAUCUCCCCGUGAAGAAGCGGGAAUAAUUUUAUAAGACGAGAAGACCCUGUGGAGCUUAAAACAAAUUAACACCUGCUUCUACCUAUUUUAUUCCUGAAUAAACGCAUAAAUAUAGCACCGCUGAUUAAUAGUUUUAGACUGGGGUGAUCUUGGAGCAAAAAACAACCUCCACGACGAAAAGGAAUAUUCCCUGAGCCAAAAGCCACAACUUUAAGCACUAAAAAAUUAACGCACCUUGACCCAAUUUUUGAUCAACGAACCAAGUUACCCCAGGGAUAACAGCGCAAUCCACUUUGAGAGCCCCUAUCGACAAGUGGGCUUACGACCUCGAUGUUGGAUCAGGGUAUCCCAGUGGUGCAGCCGCUACUAAAGGUUCGUUUGUUCAACGAUUAAAACCCU